AAUAUAUGACGCCAUUGACUUUUUCUCACAUGUUUGACCAUUCGUUUUAUUCAAAAAAUUUACAUAAUUAUAAUUUAUUUUGUCAUGAGUUGUUUUAUCACUCAUAGUAGCUUAAAUGUGAUUUAUAUCUUAUACAUUUGCAUAAAAUUUUUAAAUAAGACGAAUGAUCAAGCAUGUGAGAAAAAGUCAACGGCGUUAUCUAUU
This 204-nucleotide microRNA precursor is filed under the name Oryza glumipatula. Its description in RNAcentral is "MIR812 microRNA precursor family". It matches the Rfam family "MIR812 microRNA precursor family". The record is from Rfam by way of RNAcentral. Lineage: Eukaryota; Viridiplantae; Streptophyta; Magnoliopsida; Poales; Poaceae.